CCUACGGGAGGCAGCAGUGGGGAAUAUUGCACAAUGGGGGAAACCCUGAUGCAGCGACGCCGCGUGAGUGAAGAAGUAUUUCGGUAUGUAAAGCUCUAUCAGCAGGGAAGAAACCCACCCUCCGGGGUGGCUGACGGUACCUGACUAAGAAGCCCCGGCUAACUACGUGCCAGCAGCCGCGGUAAUACGUAGGGGGCGAGCGUUAUCCGGAUUCACUGGGUGUAAAGGGAGCGUAGACGGCCGUGCAAGCCAGGAGUGAAAGCCCGGGGCCCAACCCCGGGACUGCUCUUGGAACUGUGCGGCUGGAGGGCGGGAGGGGCAGGCGGAAUUCCUGGUGUAGCGGUGAAAUGCGGAGAUAUCAGGAGGAACACCGGCGGCGAAGGCGGCCUGCUGGACCGCGACUGACGUUGAGGCUCGAAAGCGUGGGGAGCGAACAGGAUUAGAUACCCGGGUAGUC
Molecule: ribosomal RNA, 457 nt
Filed under: uncultured bacterium
Lineage: Bacteria
Description: partial 16S ribosomal RNA
Rfam family: Bacterial small subunit ribosomal RNA
Source: RNAcentral